This 483-nucleotide ribosomal RNA is filed under the name uncultured bacterium. RNAcentral's name for it is "partial 16S ribosomal RNA". It matches the Rfam family "Bacterial small subunit ribosomal RNA", at positions 899 to 1397 of the family's 1533-position model. The record is from RNAcentral.
ACUCAAAUGAAUUGACGGGGGCCCGCACAAGCAGCGGAGCGUGUGGUUUAAUUCGACGCAACGCGCAGAACCUUACCGAGGCUGGACAUGGCGGCGACGGCCGGUAAAAGCCGGCCUCCCCUCGGGGCGCCGUCACAGGUGUUGCAUGGCUGUCGUCAGCUCGUGCCGUGAGGUGUUGGGUUCAGUCCCGCAACGAGCGCAACCCCCGGUGCCAGUUAGGCUGUCUGGCGCGACCGCCGGGAGCAACCCGGAGGAAGGCGGGGAUGAUGUCAAGUCGGCACGGCCCUUACGCCUCGGGCGACACACACGCUACAAUGGCCGGGACAGCGGGUCGCCAACGCGCAAGCGGGAGCCAAUCCCUGCAAACCCGGUCCCAGUUCAGAUGGGGGGCUGCAACUCGCCCCCCUGAAGGCGGAGUUGCUAGUAACCGCCGGUCAGCACACGGCGGUGAAUAUGUUCCCGGGCCUUGCACACACCGCCCGU